RNAcentral lists this transfer RNA (86 nucleotides) under Felis catus (domestic cat). It matches the Rfam family "tRNA". From Rfam's summary of the family: Transfer RNA (tRNA) molecules are approximately 80 nucleotides in length. Their secondary structure includes four short double-helical elements and three loops (D, anti-codon, and T loops). RNAcentral also lists the same sequence under 1 other name. Lineage: Eukaryota; Metazoa; Chordata; Mammalia; Carnivora; Felidae. The record is from Rfam by way of RNAcentral.
GCCUGGGUGGCUCAGUCGGUUGAGCGUCUGACUUCAGUUCAGGUCAUGAUCUCACAGCUCUGUGAGUUCGAGCCCCGCAUCGGGCU